This 75-nucleotide non-coding RNA is filed under the name unclassified sequences. The record is from RNAcentral.
AGUUAACGUACUAACCUACUUCCACGUAGUGUUAACUGGGCAACGCUUAGAUAACUAGGCGGCUAAGCGGUUAGU